RNAcentral lists this long non-coding RNA (990 nucleotides) under Manacus vitellinus (golden-collared manakin). RNAcentral describes it as "lncRNA (ENSMVIG00005010920.1)". The record is from RNAcentral. Lineage: Eukaryota; Metazoa; Chordata; Aves; Passeriformes; Pipridae.
GAAUGCUGUCCUCAGGCAUGGAACUGUUUGCACCACCAUGUCCACUGUUUGCAUCACAAAGACUACUGAACCAUGUCCCAAGACUGGAUCCCUACAGGCACAGUCAUGUCCAUGCUUCUUCCAGAGUAAAACAUUCCCUCAGGAAGAUAUUGCUUUCAGAUGUGACCUCAUCUACAGAGUGCAAAGACGGAUCUCAGUAAGAUGGGUUCUGAACUUCCUGAUGAAAAUAAGCAGCCCGUGGGUGAAAACCAGCAUGUUGACAGUUUUCAGAUAUCACCUGUGCCCUCUGCGACUGAGAUGGGACAGAAAGAUGUUGAAGGCUUCACUUCUACAACGGGCAAGAAAGAACCAGAGUGUAAGACAGAAGAGACUGCUCUAUCCCAUGAAAAUAAACUUCUCAAGCGUCAACAGGUUCCAUGUCCAGAGGACAUAAAUAACUUGAAGGCAUGUUUGCAGGAGUCAUUGAGAAGGUUAGAGGAAAAGACAAAGGACUUUAUAAAGGCAAAAAGCAAAAUAUUGGAAGGAAGAGAAUUAGUCAUAUCACAGGAGAAAGUCUUAGAGGGCAUGCAGAUAAAAAUAAAGCACUUAUACAAGCAACUCAAGCACCCCGAACUAAUUGGGUCCCAAGAAAGAAAGGAGGUCGAUGACAGCCCAAGCUCUCUCGUUCAGAAGAUAGCCGUGGUGAAACUGACCCAGAAAUCAAUGACCGACUACCUAAAAAUAUUCCGUUUCUAUCUUGGGAAAUGUGUGUGGCUGCUUGUCAAACACCUGCUGCGCUGUGGCUGCUCAUGCUUAACACUUCUAUUGGUUUAUAAACACCUACCUGAUGCUAUCUGGACAUAUCAGCUACUGGACAGUAUCUGCCAUCAGCCGUGGACACACUAACCCUAGAAGAUUUUGAAGACUCCAGACUGGAUUUCUGUAGGGUUACUGUAUUGCUUCUGGGAAGACCUGCACUUUAAAAUAAAGCAUUCAUGAAUGCUAAAAGCA